GAUGAUGGAUGGAUGGAUGAUGGAUGAUGGAUGGAUGAUGAUGGAUGGAUGGAUGAUGGAUGAUGGAAUGGAUGAUGGAUGGAUGAUGGAUGGAUGAUGGAUGGAUGGAUGGAUGGAUGGAUGGAUGGAUGGAUGGAUGAUGGAGGGAUGGAUGAUGGAUGGAUGGAUGAUGGAUGAUGGAUGGAUGAUGGAUGAUGGAUGAUGGACAGAGACAAAUGGAUGAUGGAUGGAUAUACAGACAGACAGACACACAGACAGAUUGAUGGAUGGAUGGAUGAUGGACGGAUGGAUGGAUGGACAGAGAGAUGGACAGAUGGAUGGAUGACGGAUGAUGGAUGGAUCUGUGGAUGAAUGAUGGAUGAUGGACAGACAGACGGAUGGACAGACGGACGGGCGGACGGAAUAAACCCCGGUGUGUCUCGGGGCGUUUGGGGGCUCCCCUCUGCAGCGGGGUGGGGCCGGCUCCACGGGGGGUGCUGGGGUUGAUUUAGGAUCACUGGGGAUGGGAUUAUGGGGUUAUGACCACGCCUGGUGACAGUUCCCAUCUCCACGGGGGUGAUUUUGGGUUGAUUUGUUGGUUUUGGGAAGCCCCGGGGGGGUCACAGGGGCAGCAGGGACCCGAAUUUGGGACAUUUCCCAUCCUUUUCUUCCACUUCCAGCUCCAGGGCUCGGGGUUUUGCCCAGGUUUGGAGCCCUGAGCGAGGCUUCCCCGCCACUUUUGGGAUUCUGGGGGAACUGGAAAGGAAUCCGAGUUAAACUUGAAUUUUUUCCCUUUAUUUUUGAACUGUGAACCCGUAGCGCAGCUUUGGGGUUUUUUUGGGGGGUUUUUUUUGCUGUUUCCCUAUUGCUGUCGUGUCUUUGAGGUCUGAUGAAGUUUUCCCACCUCCCCCCAGGGGAAGCACUGAGGGUUUAACCGUUUCAUUUUUGUUUUAACACCCAAACCGUGGAGCUGAAGACCCGAGCCUGGAGCAGCUUUAGCUGGAUUCCCAUUCCCAAAAUCCACAUUUCAGUGUUUUAAGGGCUUAACUCCGGCCAGCAGGAACCAUUUAAUUCUCAUUUUAGACGGGCAGAGGAAGGAAAACCUUUGAGUAUUGCUGGCUUUGUGCCCCCCAGGACAGGAGUUUGUGCCGGGGGUGCUGCCUGGACCCCCCCAGCCCCAGCUGGGAGCCCCCAAAAGCCAUUUCUGCAUUUCCUGCAGGGCAGGGGGAGCUCCCAGGCUGGAAACUUCCCCCAAAUCCGGGGGCUGGAAGAGGGUGGGGGGCACUUCCCAGUUCUCCCAGUUCUCCCAGUUGAGUUGCUCACCCCCCCUCUGCUAUGCACACCCCUCCCACCACUUUUGUACUAGUCUUGUGUUUAAAAAAAAACAAAAAGUAAUAAACUUGAAGUUUAUACAAUCA
RNAcentral lists this long non-coding RNA (1397 nucleotides) under Cyanistes caeruleus (blue tit). RNAcentral's name for it is "lncRNA (ENSCCEG00000002453.1)". The record is from RNAcentral. Lineage: Eukaryota; Metazoa; Chordata; Aves; Passeriformes; Paridae.